This 465-nucleotide ribosomal RNA is filed under the name uncultured bacterium. RNAcentral's name for it is "partial 16S ribosomal RNA". It matches the Rfam family "Bacterial small subunit ribosomal RNA", at positions 28 to 507 of the family's 1533-position model. The record is from RNAcentral.
GACGAACGCUGGCGGCGUGCUUAACACAUGCAAGUCGUACGGUAAGGCCCUUUCGGGGGUACACGAGUGGCGAACGGGUGCGUAACACGUGAGUAACCUGCCCACAACUUUGGGAUAACGCUAGGAAACUGGUGCUAAUACUGGAUAUGUGCUCCUGCUGCAUGGUGGGGGUUGGAAAGCUCCGGCGGUUGUGGAUGGACUCGCGGCCUAUCAGCUUGUUGGUGGGGUAGUGGCCUACCAAGGCGGCGACGGGUAGCCGGCCUGAGAGGGUGACCGGCCACACUGGGACUGAGAUACGGCCCAGACUCCUACGGGAGGCAGCAGUGGGGAAUAUUGCACAAUGGGCGCAAGCCUGAUGCAGCAACGCCGCGUGCGGGAUGACGGCCUUCGGGUUGUAAACCGCUUUCAGCAGGGACGAAGCUUUUUGUGACGGUACCUGCAGAAGAAGCACCGGCUAACUACGUG